Molecule: long non-coding RNA, 5303 nt
Organism: Leucoraja erinaceus (little skate)
Lineage: Eukaryota; Metazoa; Chordata; Chondrichthyes; Rajiformes; Rajidae
Exons: 2
Source: RefSeq, a predicted model, not a curated record
AGAAGAGAACGUUUUCCUGUUUCAUUUAGCUCUGUUGGGUUAUGUCAUGAAACUAUGAAAUAAUCCAGGGGUUGGUGAUUAAAGCAAGCGGAACGCUAUGUGCAAUGCCCUGUUGUGUUUCUCCCAUAUAUGUGCCUUCAUGAAAGUGUAACUUAAAGUUUAGUUGUGGCGAAAAUGUACUUGACAGUGUGUGUGUGUGUGUGUGUGUUAAGAAUAUUGAUGGAUUAUUUUGCCGAAAUGUAGCAAGGUGUACAUUAACUGAAAUGGAUUUAAUGUUUGACACUUACUUGAAAGUAAACUUUAAUAAUUAUGCAGAUGCUGAUAAUUUUAGGGGGAAUGCUGCAAACCCAGGUGCAUUUUGAUUUAUUUUCCUGUCGGAGAAAGCAUUACGUUUCAGCUUGUAUUACUCAAACUUUAAAUACAACUUUAAAUAUUCUUGCAUUUUAAAUAAACUUUAUUAUAUUUAGUAAUAGUUAAUUUAGUUUAUAUCUUAGUAAUAAAUACUAAGCAAGCUUCAUUUUCCAUAGAUAUUUUGAUAUAGAUUUGAUAAUGUUUCUUGUGUUGUAUAAAAUGUUUUCUUUGUCUCCACUCCUAAAUUACUCCAGUUAAUAAAGCAACAGCUACAUAAAACAGGUCAGGAUUUUGGUCUUCAAACUGGGAGAAAGAAAUAGUUUUAGAACAAAUUGUAGCUGCAAUUGCUCUUUAAAAUCGAUGCCUUAAAAAUGAUUUGAAUUUUUAUGAAUGGUUCCAUAAUUUUGGAUUUCUUGUGAUUACAAGUAAUUUUUUUAUUAAGUAAACUUUAUUUUAGAAUGUCAGUUAUAUACUUCAGUUUUCAUCUUGCCUAAUAGACAAUUAGAAAAUAUGCAAAUAUAUGUAACUUAAAACUCUGGAAAUCUGUCUACGGAUAUUUUCUAUGAAAAGAUAUAACGUUUCUACACGUUUAAUUGAUUUCUUAAUUACAAAUUGUUUGACCAUCAGGUUCUGAUAUUAGAAAUUGUGGAAGUUGGCAUUAUUAUGAAUAAUCUGCAUUUUACAAAUCAAAAACAAUGCCCUUGAACUCUUCAUGAUUUUAGUGAUUGUUUCUAAAGUUCAUUUGUCACUUACCACCCUUGGCAGUACUGCGCUUGAGAGAAAUUACUAUUUACUGUUGCGUUCUGAUUAAUUGGAGGUUAUUUUCUGACAUUUUUAGUUCUGUAAAUUCAGUUAAAAUAAUUGCCAAGAUGUCCCUGUACUUUUAUCUAUUAGAGCUAUAUAUUUGGAUCGUUAUGUGUUUCUGUAGAAGGUAUCAGCGCCAUUUAAGUGUGAAUGAGAAGCAUUUUAAUUAAACCCCUUGUGGAAAAUUAUUCUGCUGAAACAAUUGGUCAUGCCAGUGAAUGCAAGGUUGAAGGAAUUACAGACAUAUUUAAAAUCAUAACAGAAAGUUCCAUUUAAUUAUAAUUAUCCAGAAACUAAUUAUUCAUGGUUCCCCGCACUUGCAGUAGUUUGCAGCAUUGCAUCAGCAGCAUGUGUCAAUAUAUUUUCAGAGUCUUGUUGCCUUCCUGGCUUUAUGCUUAUUUCGGUUUUAAAAUCAAGUACUAAAGAUUGCAUAUAAUUUUUGACUGACACAAUAUACUAAAGUCGUUGAUGUUCACUUUGUAACCUACUAAUUUGAAUUCUAAUAGCAUUUUUAAUUUCAAGGAUAUUGACUUCGUUCCUCACACGAGUCAUUUAGUUGCACGUAUCUGUUAAAGAUAUUUAAUAAACAGCCGAUAAGAACUUUGAGGCUUAUCAAAAUUGUGUGUGACACAAUUUAUUCUGGUUACAUUUCCUUGCAGUUGUUUAUAAGUUUGGCGAGGAAGGACAAAUAAUAUUUAUGUAUGAAUCCCUGCAUUUAUUAGGCAUUAAAUGGCGCCAUGCACUAAAUAAACUCGGAGGCUGCCAGGUUAUGCCCUUUAUUAGAGGAUAGGAGCUGAAUAUUCCAGGGAAUGCUUGGGUUUAAUAUUAUAGCUUAAUAUUGAAGGUUGAUUCAGAGAAUUUCCCAAUAAAAUGUACCUUCACCAAAAGUAGGCCAUGCGCACCUCGUGGAAAAUUGCACAACAUGUUGCAAUUCCAUUUCUAGGAAAAUAUUUUGCAAGCAGUUAAUGUGUUAUACCAGAACAUAUCUUUGCAAUUGGAGCCUAUUUAGUCACAGCGUUCAAAUUUAUGUAAAGCCACCAAGUGUAUCUGACCUAUUAAGUGUAUAACAGUGCUACAGUUUCUGUUUUGGUUGACUUAUAAUAAUAGUUGGAACUAUUAUUUUCUUUUUUGACUUUUGUUAUUUCGUGUGUAAUUCUUUAACUUGGCCAGUAGUUCUGGUAUUUUGCGUUGAAGACUUUAAAAAAAUUCAACACUCACGCUCAAAUAGUUUCCCAAGUUAGAGAAGUACACAUUCUCAGCUCUUAUGAGUAAGUUAUCAUAUAUGGUAGAAAAUUAAACAUUCAAAAUCCCCUAACUAGAAAAUGCUUUUAUAAGUUAUUUCUUGUGCUACCUUUAUUUUUCUUUCUUCCCAUUUUGUCUAUACAUGGACUCUACCUGUAUUAAAUAUCUGCUAACUUUUUGGUUUGCUACAUUAACGCCUUAAUUUUCAUUUUGUCCUCACUACUUACCAUCAGUAUCGGGGGUGGAACUUAAUAUCCUGCAGAAUUGCCCCUUGACUGAUCAGUCAUCGUUGAACCAUCUCCAAUGACCAAUUGCUCAGCCCGUUAAACCCCAGAAUUGGGACAAAAGGCUGGAAUUGUAUUUUGAGACACCCAGUCAAUUUUGAAAUAUAGCUUCAUUUUUUCUGGUCAAAGUGAAAUAAGUCCUCAUUAGCACAAAUAUAUCGACGAGGGAUUCGUAUAUUUUAUAUAUAUUCAGUAUAUUUUUAACAACAUUUUCAACAACUCUGGCAUUGUUGACUUGUGUAAACUCCAAAAUAAUUGAAUAAUAUUUUAGGAGCUAAUUAUCCAUAAAUUAACUUUGUCUCGACUUUCAGAAUGUUCAAUGCUUAACCGCUUGUUAGCAAAGGUGAGAAAUAUAUCUCUCCAUUACUCAUCUCUUGAUGUGCUCAACAAUUCUGGAGUGCUAAACAAAACAAUAAAUAAACAAAACAAGCCCACAAUCUUAUUUCGGCUGAUCGAAGAACUGGCCUCCAAUGGUCAAAUAUACAUUGAGCUGUGUGCCACUAGAUUUUAUUUUGGAACGAAAAAAAAUAAUAGUUAUGAUGUAUUCAUUUUAAUUUUAAAACACUAAAUAAAUGAUUUAAUUGUUUCUACAUUCUUAAAGAAAUAAAAUGUUUAAACUUCUAUCUUUUAAAUGUUAUACUUUGAGAAUUCAAUGUUUCUUUAUCUUAAUAUGAAAAGAUCAUUUCAUAACAGCUUUAUCAUAAUUCUGAAGAUUAAUAUUAUUUCAGGUAUAUAUUUCGUUAGUGUUUUGUAGCCCAUAUUGUAACUCAGACAAAGCCCCAUUCACCCCUCUCUCUUGAGCUUUAAUGAUAGCUCUUGGCACGGCAAAACACUUUUGAUUUUAAAAUGUUAACAUGUUAAUGCCCUUUCACUGAACCAUUAUUAUAUGCUGCAACCCCAGAUCUCCGACUCAAUUAGAUGAUCCCUAAUUUUCUUUGACUCAACUUUGGCUCCCACACUUUCAGGUUUAUUCAGGCAAGCAUCUGGAAUUCCUGCCCUAAGCAUCACCACCUCUCUACUUUUGUUCUCUUUUAGACAUUCCUUAAUCUGCCUCUAUGUCUUAACGUUCGGUCAUCUGUACUGUCAUCCCCAAGAUUUCCAUUUGUUUGCUCCUGUGAAACACCUUGGGAUGUGCUUUAAAUUAGUGCAUUAAAAAUGCCAUGUUCCUCUCACUGUUGUAUAUUUACAGGACACUUAUAAAGCAUAAUGCUGCAUGAAACGACAGAUGAUUUCUAGCUUAACGAUAAUAAAUUACAAGUGGGUCUGAAUUUCAGAGGUGGAGUUCAUUAGGCAAAAUGACUACAUUGCGUGUUUAGUGCAUGCGUUGGAAGAGAAGUUCCACCCCAUGCGUUAACCUUACACAGCUGACCACAUAUUCAGCAGCAGGACAGGUCUCCUCCUGCGCCAUUAAAAGGGAUCAUCAAUUACUUGCAGGAGGACCAAAGUUGUGCGAAUGAAAGUCAAAGAAGCCAUUAUGAGACUGAGAAACAAGAAUAAAACUGUUAGAGACAUCAGCCAAACCUUAAGCUUACCAAAAUCAACCGUUUGAAACAUAAUUAAGAAGAAAGAGAGCACUGGUGAGCUUACUAAUCGCAAAGGGACUGGCAGGCCAAGGAAGACCUCCACAGCUGAUGACAGAAGAAUUCUCUCUAUAAUAAAGAAAAAUUCCCAAACACCUGCCGACAGAUCAGAAACACUCUUCAGGAAUCAGGUGUGGAUUUGUCAAUGACCACUGUCCGCAGAAGACUUCAUGAACAUAAAUACAGAGGCUACACUGCAAGAUGCAAACCACUGGUUAGCUGCAAAAAUAGGAUGGCCGGGUUACAGUUUGCCAUGAAGUACUUAAAAGAGAAACCACAGUUCUGUAAAAAAAAGGUUUUGUGGACAGAUGAGAUGAAGAUUAAAAUAUCAGAGUAAUGGGAAGAGCAAAGUAUGGAGGAGAGAAGGAACUGCUUCAAAGCAUACCACCUCAUCUGUGAAACAUGGUGUUGGGGGUGUUAUGGCCUGGGCAUGUAUGGCUGCUGAAGGUACUGGCUCACUUAUCUUCAUUGAUGAUACAACUGCUGAUGGUAGUAGUAUAAUGAAUUCUGAAGUAUAUAAACACAUCCUAUCUGCUCAAAUUCAAACAAAUGCCUCAAAACUCAUUAACAAAACUCAGGCAGUUCAUUCUACAGCAAAACAAUGAUCCCAAACAUACUGCUAAAGCAACAAAGGAGAUUUUCAAAGCUAAAAAAUGGCCAAUUUCUGAGUGGCCAAGUCAAUCACCAGAUCUGAACCCAAUUGAGCAUGCCUUUUAUAUGCUGAAGAGAGAACUGAAGGGGUCUAACCCCCAAAAACAAGCAUAAUCUAAAGAUGUCUGCAAAACAGGCCGGGCAGAGCAUCACCGGAGAAGACACCCAGCAACUGGUGAUUUCCAUGAAUUGCAGACUUCAAGCAUUCUUUGCAUUCAAAGGAUAUGCAACAAUAUACUAAACAUGACUACUUUCAUUUACAUUACAUUGUUGUGUCCCGAACAUUAUGGUGCUCUGAAAUGGGGGGACUGUAUAAACACAACUAUAAUUUCUACAUGGUGAAACCAAAAUGUAUAAAAAUGGCGUUUAUUAAAAUCUGACAAUGUGCACU